RNAcentral lists this transfer RNA (69 nucleotides) under Heterocephalus glaber (naked mole-rat). It matches the Rfam family "tRNA". Rfam says of the family: Transfer RNA (tRNA) molecules are approximately 80 nucleotides in length. Their secondary structure includes four short double-helical elements and three loops (D, anti-codon, and T loops). Further hydrogen bonds mediate the characteristic L-shaped molecular structure. tRNAs have two regions of fundamental functional importance: the anti-codon, which is responsible for specific mRNA codon recognition, and the 3' end, to which the tRNAs corresponding amino acid is attached (by aminoacyl-tRNA synthetases). tRNAs cope with the degeneracy of the genetic code in two manners: having more than one tRNA (with a specific anti-codon) for a particular amino acid; and 'wobble' base-pairing, i.e. permitting non-standard base-pairing at the 3rd anti-codon position. Lineage: Eukaryota; Metazoa; Chordata; Mammalia; Rodentia; Bathyergidae. The record is from Rfam by way of RNAcentral.
GGGGAUAUAGCUCAGUGGCACUGCAUCUGCCUCACAAGCGGAAGGUCCUGAGUUCGAUCCCCAGUACCA